RNAcentral lists this non-coding RNA (778 nucleotides) under Cuculus canorus (common cuckoo). RNAcentral describes it as "Eukaryotic small subunit ribosomal RNA". It matches the Rfam family "Eukaryotic small subunit ribosomal RNA", at positions 1189 to 1606 of the family's 1831-position model. Lineage: Eukaryota; Metazoa; Chordata; Aves; Cuculiformes; Cuculidae. The record is from Rfam by way of RNAcentral.
CGGUAUAUAAACAAUAUGGGAGACCUCACCCAGGUUUCCCAUGAACGGGACUGACAGAUUGAGAGCUCUUUCUGGGUUCUGUGGGUGGUGGCGCGUGGCUGUUCUUAGUUGGUGGAGCAAUUUGUCUGGCUAAUUCCGAUAACGAAUGAAGACUCUGGCAUGUUAAGUAGUCAAGUGAUCAAUGUCCAGCUUCUCACAGGGACAAGUGGCAUUCACUCACCCAAGACUGAGUAAUAACUCAAUAAUGAUUUGAGAAAAGGAGGCUGAGGGGAGACCUCAUUGCUCUCUACAACAACCUAAAAGGGGUUGUAGCGAGGUGGAGGUUGGUCACUCCUCCCUGGAAGCCAGUGACAUGACAAGGGAAAAUGCCUUCAAGAUGCACCAGGGGAGAUUAAGUUUGGAUAUUAGGAGUAAUUUCUUUACUGAAAAGGUUGUCAACUGGCUGCCCAGGGAGUUGCUUGAGUCACCAUCCCUGGACGUGUUUAAAAGACAAGUAGAUGUCAUACUUGGGGACGCGGUCUAGUGGCAGACUUAGCAGGGCUGGAUCGAUGGUUAGAUUUGAAGAUCUUCAUGGUCCCUUCCAACUAAAACUGUAAUUCUGUAAUUACAGAUUACUGUAAUUCUAUAACGGGUCAGUGAUGCCCUUAAAUGUCCAGGGGCGCACACAUACCAGACUGUCUGGCUCAGCUUGUGCCCAACCUCUGCCAGCAGGUGCAGGUAACCCACUGAACCCCAUUCAUGGUGGGGAUCAGGGACUGCAGUUCUUCCCCUUGAAUGA